RNAcentral lists this ribosomal RNA (1285 nucleotides) under metagenome. RNAcentral's name for it is "bacterial LSU rRNA". It matches the Rfam family "Bacterial large subunit ribosomal RNA", at positions 1626 to 2925 of the family's 2925-position model. The record is from RNAcentral.
GUUAAGGCAUGACGGCCUGUACCCGAAACCGACACAGGUGGGGUGGUAGAGAAUACCGAGGGGCGCGAGGUAACUCUCUCUAAGGAACUCGGCAAAAUGGCCCCGCGACUUCGGGAGAAGGGGUGCCACCGCAAGGUGGUCGCAGUGAAGAGGCCCAGGCGACUGUUUACCAAAAACACAGGUCUCCGCUAAGUCGCAAGACGAUGUAUGGGGGCUGACGCCUGCCCAGUGCCGGAAGGUUAAGGAAGCUGGUCAGCGCAAGCGAAGCUAGCGACUGAAGCCCCGGUGAACGGCGGCCGUAACUAUAACGGUCCUAAGGUAGCGAAAUUCCUUAUCGGGUAAGUUCCGACCCGCACGAAAGGCGUAACGAUCUGGGCGCUGUCUCGGAGAGAGGCUCGGCGAAAUAGAAUUGUCUGUGAAGAUGCGGACUACGUGCACCCGGACAGAAAGACCCUAUGAAGCUUUACUGUAGCUUGGUAUUGUGCCCGGGCUCUGAAUGCGCAGGAUAGGUGGGAGGCUUUGAUCCAUUGCUUGUGGGUGAUGGUGAGCCACUGGUGAGAUACCACUCUUUCAGAGCUAGGGUUCUAACGGUCACCCGUUAUCCGGGGACCGGACAGUAUCAGGUGGGCAGUUUGACUGGGGCGGUCGCCUCCUAAAAGGUAACGGAGGCGCGCAAAGGUUCCCUCAAGCUGGUUGGAAAUCAGCCGACGAGUGUAAAGGCAGAAGGGAGCUUGACUGUGAGACCUACAAGUCGAACAGGGACGAAAGUCGGCCUUAGUGAUCCGACGGUUCUGAGUGGAAGGGCCGUCGCUCAACGGAUAAAAGUUUCUCUAGGAUAACAGGCUGAUCUCCCCCAAGAGUUCACAUCGACGGGGAGGUUUGGCACCUCGAUGUCGGCUCAUCGCAACCUGGGGCUGAAGUCGGUCCCAAGGGUUGGGCUGUUCGCCCAUUAAAGCGGUACGCGAGCUGGGUUCAGAACGUCGUGAGACAGUUCGGUCCAUAUCCGGUGCACGCGCAGGAAUAUUGAGAGGAUUUCUCCCUAGUACGAGAGGACCGGGAGGAACGCACCUCUGGUGUACCAGUUAUCGUGCCAACGGUAAACGCUGGGUAGCCAUGUGCGGAGUGGAUAACCGCUGAAAGCAUCUAAGUGGGAAGCCCACCUCAAGAUGAGUAUUCCCAUGGCAGAAGCCAGUAAGGUCACGGGAAGAACACCCGUUGAUAGGCUCUACGUGGAAGCGUGGCAACGCGUGAAGCGAAGGAGUACUAAUAGACCGAGGGCUUGACC